Molecule: ribosomal RNA, 801 nt
Filed under: uncultured organism
Description: bacterial SSU rRNA
Rfam family: Bacterial small subunit ribosomal RNA
Source: RNAcentral
GGCUUAACUGGGAGAGGCCGUUCAAUACUCCGGGGCUCGAGGACAGCAGAGGGGGGUGGAAUUUCCGGUGUAGUGGUGAAAUGCGUAGAUAUCGGAAGGAACACCAGUGGCGAAGGCGGCCCCCUGGGCUGCUCCUGACGCUGAAGGCGAAAGCUAGGGUAGCGAACGGGAUUAGAAACCCCGGUAGUCCUAGCCGUAAACGAUGGAUACUAGGUGUAGGAGGUUAAAACUCCUUCUGUGCCGGAGCUAACGCGUUAAGUAUCCCGCCUGGGGAGUACGGUCGCAAGGCUAAAACUCAAAGGAAUUGACGGGGGCCCGCACAAGCAGCGGAGCGUGUGGUUUAAUUCGAUGCAACGCGAAGAACCUUACCAGGGCUUGACAUGUAGGUAGUAGUGAAGCGAAAGCGGAACGAUCCUUCGGGAAGCCUACACAGGUGCUGCAUGGCUGUCGUCAGCUCGUGCCGUGAGGUGUUAGGUUAAGUCCUGUAACGAGCGCAACCCCUGCCGUUAGUUACAAGUGUCUAACGGGACUGCCCGGCCCCACUGGGAGGAAGGUGGGGAUGACGUCAAGUCAGCAUGGCCUUUAUGUCCUGGGCUACACACACGCUACAAUGGCCGGUACAAUGGGUUGCCAAGCCGCGAGGCGGAGCCAAUCCUCUAAAGCCGGUCUCAGUUCGAAUUGUAGGCUGCAACCCGCAUGCAUGAAGUUGGAGUUGCUAGUAACCGCAGUCACGCCACACUGCGGUGAAUACGUUCCCGGGCAUUGACACACCGCCCGUCACGUCAUGGAAGCUGGUAACAC